RNAcentral lists this unclassified non-coding RNA (376 nucleotides) under soil metagenome. RNAcentral describes it as "partial contains 5.8S ribosomal RNA, internal transcribed spacer 2, and large subunit ribosomal RNA". The stretch from base 1 to 120 matches the Rfam family "5.8S ribosomal RNA", at positions 35 to 154 of the family's 154-position model. The record is from RNAcentral.
GAUGAAGAACGUAGCGAAAUGCGAUAAGUAAUGUGAAUUGCAGAAUUCAGUGAAUCAUCGAAUCUUUGAACGCACCUUGCACCCUUUGGCAUUCCGAAGGGUAUGCUCGUUUGAGUGUCAUUGUACUCUCACACUCCCGAUCUUUGGAUUGGGAGCGGUGGACUUGGGUUUGCUGCUUACCGUGGCUCACCUCAAAUGGAUUAGUGCAACUCUUGGUUGACCAUAGUACGGCGUGAUAAGUGUCUUCGCCGGCACCUCACUGGGUGGGCCGAUCGGGAGCUCUGUGCUUCAAACCGUCUUCGGACAACAACUGACAACUUGACCUCAAAUCGAGUAGGACCACCCGCCGAACUUAAGCAUAUCAAUAAGCGGAGGA